This 177-nucleotide ribosomal RNA is filed under the name Staphylococcus aureus. RNAcentral describes it as "partial 23S ribosomal RNA". It matches the Rfam family "Bacterial large subunit ribosomal RNA", at positions 2748 to 2925 of the family's 2925-position model. The record is from RNAcentral. Lineage: Bacteria; Bacillati; Bacillota; Bacilli; Caryophanales; Staphylococcaceae.
GCUAUGUGUGGACGGGAUAAGUGCUGAAAGCAUCUAAGCAUGAAGCCCCCCUCAAGAUGAGAUUUCCCAACUUCGGUUAUAAGAUCCCUCAAAGAUGAUGAGGUUAAUAGGUUCGAGGUGGAAGCAUGGUGACAUGUGUAGCUGACGAAUACUAAUCGAUCGAAGACUUAAUCAAAA